This 253-nucleotide ribosomal RNA is filed under the name uncultured bacterium. Its description in RNAcentral is "partial 16S ribosomal RNA". It matches the Rfam family "Bacterial small subunit ribosomal RNA", at positions 524 to 776 of the family's 1533-position model. The record is from RNAcentral.
GACGUAGGGCGCGAGCGUUGUCCGGAUUUAUUGGGCGUAAAGAGCUCGUAGGCGGCUUGUUGCGUCAGCUGUGAAAACCCGCAGCUCAACUGUGGGCUUGCAGCUGAUACGGGCAGGCUUGAGUUCGGUAGGGGAGACUGGAAUUCCUGGUGUAGCGGUGAAAUGCGCAGAUAUCAGGAGGAACACCAGUGGCGAAGGCGGCUCACUGGCCCGAUACUGACGCUGAGACGCGAAAGCGUGGGGAGCGAACAGG